Molecule: ribosomal RNA, 406 nt
Filed under: uncultured bacterium
Lineage: Bacteria
Description: bacterial SSU rRNA
Rfam family: Bacterial small subunit ribosomal RNA
Source: RNAcentral
AACGAACGCUGGCGGCGCGCUUAACACAUGCAAGUCGAACGAGAAGGCGUAGCAAUACGCUUGUACAGGGGCGAACGGGUGAAGAAUACAUGGGUGACCUACCCUCGAGUGGGGAAUAACCAACCGAAAGGUUGGCUAAUGCCGCGUACGCUUCUCUUCUUACGGGGAGGGAAGGAAAGCUGUACCGUGGGUACGGCGCUCAAGGAUGGGCUCAUGUCCUAUCAGCUUGUUGGUAGGGUAACGGCCACCAAGGCAACGACGGGUAGCUGGUCUGAGAGGACGACCAGUCACACUGGAACUGAGACACGGUCCAGACACCUACGGGUGGCAGCAGUCGAGAAUUUUUCUCAAUGGGGGAAACCCUGAAGGAGCGACGCCGCGUGGAGGAUGAAGGCUUUCGGGUUGU